UACGUAGGGGUGCGAGCGUUUGUCCGGAAUUACUGGGCGUAAAGCGCGCGUAGGCGGCUUUGCAAGUCGGGUGUGAAAUCCCCAGGCUUAACCUGGGAACUGCAUUCGAGACUGCAUUGCUAGAGUAUGGGAGAGGGAAGUGGAAUUUCCGGUGUAGCGGUGAAAUGCGUAGAUAUCGGAAGGAACAUCAGUGGCGAAAGCGACUCCUGGACCAAUACUGACGCUCAUGUGCGAAAGCGUGGGGAGCAAACAGG
This 254-nucleotide ribosomal RNA is filed under the name uncultured bacterium. Its description in RNAcentral is "partial 16S ribosomal RNA". It matches the Rfam family "Bacterial small subunit ribosomal RNA", at positions 524 to 776 of the family's 1533-position model. The record is from RNAcentral.